RNAcentral lists this ribosomal RNA (460 nucleotides) under uncultured bacterium. RNAcentral describes it as "bacterial SSU rRNA". It matches the Rfam family "Bacterial small subunit ribosomal RNA", at positions 340 to 793 of the family's 1533-position model. The record is from RNAcentral.
UACGGGAGACAGCAGUGGGGAAUAUUGCACAAUGGGCGCAAGCCUGAUGCAGCCAUGCCGCGUGUAUGAAGAAGGCCUUCGGGUUGUAAAGUACUUUCAGCAGUGAGGAAGGUGGGUAUGUUAAUAGCAUACUCAUUUGACGUUAGCUGCAGAAGAAGCACCGGCUAACUCCGUGCCAGCAGCCGCGGUAAUACGGAGGGUGCGAGCGUUAAUCGGAAUUACUGGGCGUAAAGCGCAUGCAGGUGGUUUGUUAAGUCAGAUGUGAAAGCCCGGGGCUCAACCUCGGAAUUGCAUUUGAAACUGGCAAACUAGAGUACUGUAGAGGGGGUAGAAUUUCAGGUGUAGCGGUGAAAUGCGUAGAGAUCUGAAGGAAUACCGGUGGCGAAGGCGGCCCCCUGGACAGAUACUGACACUCAGAUGCGAAAGCGUGGGGAGCAAACAGGAUUAGAUACCCUGGUAG